This is a long non-coding RNA of Mauremys reevesii (Reeves's turtle), 423 nucleotides long. RefSeq lists it as uncharacterized. The record is from RefSeq and is a predicted model, not a curated record. The transcript has 3 exons. Lineage: Eukaryota; Metazoa; Chordata; Testudines; Geoemydidae.
CAGGUAGGGGGUAUUCCCUGCUGCCAAGUCUGAUCCCCAAGCUCCAGGCAGGCUGAAGUACCAUUGUAAAAGAUCUGUAGAGCUUGUUGCUCAAAGAAAGGAAUUCUUCAGAUAGUUUAAAUUAAAAUGAACAACUGUUAAAGAGGGAUCAGUUUUACGUGCAGCUGAAGAUCAAUAUCAUAACGGAUUAUGGGUAUUUCCUUACACAAGUUUGUGAAUUAACUUAAGAAUCAGAAGGAAUUCUCUCAAGACCAUUCUAGUAACAUAAGAGAGACACGAAGAGAGGAACAGGGCUUCAAUUAACAAUGAACUGAUCUCAGUGGCUUUGGGACUGAUUAGGACCAAUUGAAACUGUAAAUGAAAUGGCUACACAAAGUAUACAAUACUAUACAUUGACACACUCCAACAGUUGCUAAAAGAUUU